GACGAACGCUGGCGGCGUGCUUAACACAUGCAAGUCGAACGGAAAGGCCCUGCUUUUGUGGGGUGCUCGAGUGGCGAACGGGUGAGUAACACGUGAGUAACCUGCCCUUGACUUUGGGAUAACUUCAGGAAACUGGGGCUAAUACCGGAUAGGAGCUCCUGCUGCGUGGUGGGGGUUGGAAAGUUUCGGCGGUUGGGGAUGGACUCGCGGCUUAUCAGCUUGUUGGUGGGGUAGUGGCUUACCAAGGCUUUGACGGGUAGCCGGCCUGAGAGGGUGACCGGCCACAUUGGGACUGAGAUACGGCCCAGACUCCUACGGGAGGCAGCAGUGGGGAAUAUUGCACAAUGGGCGGAAACCUGAUGCAGCAACGCCGCGUGCGGGAUGACGGCCUUCGGGUUGUAAACCGCUUUCGCCUGUGACGAAGCGUGAGUGACGGUAAUGGGUAAAGAAGCACCGGCUAACUACGUGCCAGCAGCCGCGGUGAUACGUAGGGUGCGAGCGUUGUCCGGAUUUAUUGGGCGUAAAGGGCUCGUAGGUGGUUGAUCGCGUCGGAAGUGUAAUCUUGGGGCUUAACCCUGAGCGUGCUUUCGAUACGGGUUGACUUGAGGAAGGUAGGGGAGAAUGGAAUUCCUGGUGGAGCGGUGGAAUGCGCAGAUAUCAGGAGGAACACCAGUGGCGAAGGCGGUUCUCUGGGCCUUUCCUGACGCUGAGGAGCGAAAGCGUGGGGAGCGAACAGGCUUAGAUACCCUGGUAGUCCACGCUGUAAACGGUGGGUACUAGGUGUGGGGUCCAUUCCACGGGUUCCGUGCCGUAGCUAACGCUUUAAGUACCCCGCCUGGGGAGUACGGCCGCAAGGCUAAAACUCAAAGGAAUUGACGGGGCCCCGCACAAGCGGCGGAGCAUGCGGAUUAAUUCGAUGCAACGCGUAGAACCUUACCUGGGUUUGACAUGGAUCGGGAGCGCUCAGAGAUGGGUGUGCCUCUUUUGGGGUCGGUUCACAGGUGGUGCAUGGCUGUCGUCAGCUCGUGUCGUGAGAUGUUGGGUUAAGUCCCGCAACGAGCGCAACCCUUGUUCACUGUUGCCAGCACGUUAUGGUGGGGACUCAGUGGAGACCGCCGGGGUCAACUCGGAGGAAGGUGGGGAUGACGUCAAGUCAUCAUGCCCCUUAUGUCCAGGGCUUCACGCAUGCUACAAUGGCUGGUACAGAGAGUGGCGAGCCUGUGAGGGUGAGCGAAUCUCGGAAAGCCGGUCUCAGUUCGGAUUGGGGUCUGCAACUCGACCUCAUGAAGUCGGAGUCGCUAGUAAUCGCAGAUCAACAACGCUGCGGUGAAUACGUUCCCGGG
This 1343-nucleotide ribosomal RNA is filed under the name uncultured bacterium. RNAcentral's name for it is "16S ribosomal RNA". It matches the Rfam family "Bacterial small subunit ribosomal RNA", at positions 28 to 1378 of the family's 1533-position model. The record is from RNAcentral.